UACGAAGGGGGCUAGCGUUGCUCGGAAUCACUGGGCGUAAAGCGCACGUAGGCGGCUUUUUAAGUCAGGGGUGAAAUCCUGGAGCUCAACUCCAGAACUGCCUUUGAUACUGAGAAGCUUGAGUCCGGGAGAGGUGAGUGGAACUGCGAGUGUAGAGGUGAAAUUCGUAGAUAUUAGGAAGAACACCAGUGGCGAAGGCGGCUCACUGGUCCGGUACUGACGCUGAGGUGCGAAAGCGUGGGGAGCAAACAGG
Molecule: ribosomal RNA, 253 nt
Filed under: uncultured bacterium
Lineage: Bacteria
Description: partial 16S ribosomal RNA
Rfam family: Bacterial small subunit ribosomal RNA
Source: RNAcentral